UACGAGGGGUGCAAGCGUUGCUCGGAAUUAUUGGGCGUAAAGGGCAGGUAGGUGGUCUCAUUUGUCAGGGGUGAAAGCCUUGGGCUUAACCCAAGAAGUGCCUUUGAAACGGUGAGACUGGAGUCUUGGAGAGGGUCGUGGAAUUCCCAGUGUAGCGGUGAAAUGCGUAGAGAUUGGGAGGAACACCAGCGGCGAAGGCGGCGACCUGGACAAGUACUGACACUCAACUGCGAAAGCGUGGGUAGCAAACAGG
This 253-nucleotide ribosomal RNA is filed under the name uncultured bacterium. RNAcentral's name for it is "partial 16S ribosomal RNA". It matches the Rfam family "Bacterial small subunit ribosomal RNA", at positions 524 to 776 of the family's 1533-position model. The record is from RNAcentral.